RNAcentral lists this long non-coding RNA (6563 nucleotides) under Homo sapiens (human). RNAcentral describes it as "HSALNT0374656". Lineage: Eukaryota; Metazoa; Chordata; Mammalia; Primates; Hominidae. The record is from RNAcentral.
AUCAGGUACAUUUGUUGUUAUGCACAUUCAACCUAUUCAUCUAGAUAUUUCAAAAAAAAAAAGGCAACAGUUUUUCUAUAAAGAUAGGAAAUCCUUGCACAUUAGUCUUACAUUUACCCUUGAGGAUAAGAAUUCUUGCUGAUAAGAAGAGAGCUAUAAAAUAUGGAUACCAUGUCUCAAGUAUUUAAGGAUAAAGCGAUAAACAUGCAGAUGGAGCCAUUAAUGAACAUUAAUUGCUUUAAAUUAGGUUUUAUUGUGCAGUGGGUAAAUUGGAAAGUACACAUUUGCAUUGGUAAUAGAAAAUUAAUUUAAAUGCUUCAGGAAGCAAAAUAUCACCUGAUGUGCUAAAACCUGUUAUUUGUGGUAGACCUAAAAGGAAACUUGAAGGGCACUGUGUAUUCAAAUAAAAUAAAAUAAACUAAGCUGGAGGCACACAUAUUUGUGAGAAUCUUCUUAGGUAUAAACCCUAUAUGGAUAUUGAGUUUGUCUAGGCCAAGAAAGGUCCAGAUGGUGACUGGUUUAAUGUUACAUGUUUACUGCACUGUGUUGCCAGAGAGUGGUGGCACUGUAGUGCACUGUGCAACUGUAAAUCUAGGAGUUAGAUGGGCCCUCAGGAGGUAACUGGAUCCUUCCUUCUCCCUCCAGGAAAGACAUGUCUUGAAAUCUUUCAGGACAGAUUGUUGCCUACCCAAGUGUUCGAAGCACUUGGAGGGAAAAUGCUGCACCUUCCUCAAUGGCCCAUUUUUCUAGCCGGAACCCAUCUGAGCUCACAUUGAGGAAGGCUUCCUUUAAGUCUCUUCAACAAUGGCUUAAACUCAUAUCUUCUUAUUUAAUUUCUAAAGAGUUGGUAACCAGGGCAUAUGCAUGGUUUGGUGGUUCUUCAACUUUCCUACUCCUGGAUAGAAGUAAACUUUUUUCUUCUCUUUAGUACUUUUUUCUUUUCAUUUGAUCUUCUUACCAUUGUUUUGCUCUGGAUCCUGCUGUAGAACAGACAGUGUUUAAAAUAGUAAAAAUUCUCUAGUAAAAGAACUACGUAAUAAAGACCCUCUGUUCUAAGGCUAAAGUGGUAGGAAAUUGUCAUUAUAGUUGCUAUAUUGACUUAGUUGUGCAGCUGUUUCUUAAGACAGAGGAGAACAUGAGUGGGUUUUGAGGAAGAAGAGGAAAUUAAGGCUUAAGUAGCCUAAAAUACACUGGUGUGGAGUUCAGGAGACAAAUAGGGGCUAGAAAUUUAAAUUUGAGGACCACCAGUUUUUAGAUUAUUUUUAAAGCCAUGAAAUUGGAUGAGAUGACCUAAGGAGUAAAUGUAAAAAAGUGAAGUUAAUAUAAAAAGUGCCUCAGGGCACUUUGACAUUUAGAAGUCUGAAAAGAGGGACAACUCAGUAAAGAAGACUAAGAAGGAGCAAGGUCAGAGAUAAAAAAGAAAAAUUAGAAGCAUGUGGCAUCCUGGAAACCAAAUAAAGAAAAUGUUUUCAGAAGAUGGGAGUGGCUAGCUGUGUUUAAUGCUGCUUAGAGGUUGAGGUUGAGUGAGAGGAGGUUCUCACUGGCCUUGGCAAAAGCAUUUUUAGUAGGUAAUAGGGACAAAAGUCUGUUUGAGGUAGAUUCAAGAGAGAAUGGCAGAUGAAAAGCAGGGCUAGUGAAUAUAGACAUCUUUUUUGGGAGUUUAAUGUAAAGAGGAACAGAGAACAGGGUGAGAGCAGAGGGGAUCGUGAGAUCAAGAGUAAUUUUUUUUAAAGGCAUGAGAUCUUAUAGCAAGAAUGUAUACUAGCGGGAAUAAUUCAAUAGAAAGGAGAAAUGGUGAUGCUGGAGAGAAAGGAGGUUCCAGGGAGAGGAUGGAAUACAAACCACAAGAGUGGUAUUGAUCCUAGAUUCAUCCAGGGAGAGUUCAUCUAUGGUUAUUGGUUGGAAGUCAGGUUGUAUGAGUACAGAUGAAGGUAAGCCUAGAGAUUUAAUCAAAUAAAAUAUUGAACUGUUCUUUUUAUAUUUUUGAAUUAAAUUUUGAUUUCCUGGAAUGAAAUAUUUUCUUAUACUUUAAGACAAAACAUUGGCCCUUGGAAGAGGACCUGUCCUACCAAAUGGACAAUGACUGGCCAACAGAGAUGGAAAAUGUUUUGCAUCUGUGCAGCCAGAGGUCCUGCAAGUGCUUUCUGCUGGGCAGACACAGCUGUGCUUCUUGGGGGCCUACUGCUGAUAUUCCCCUCUGGCUGCUCCUUGACCAUGUCUCUGAUACCUGGGAUUAGGUCUCCAGUGCAACCAAUGGCAGGCUAUGAAUUUUAGUAGCUUUAGGGAUAGGCUUUACUUUACUGAACACUUAGGGGUAAUGAAAGUACACCACUGGAGAGUAACUUACAAAUAUGACUAGAAGGGACCCCCUCAGCCUAAACCUGACCUCAAGAGAAUUUUUGCUACAGCAGCUGCCUACCUGCUUCCACACAGGUUGGAGCCAGCUAGUUCUCCUCAUUGUUAGGAAUGCUCCAAGUGUCAUCAGAGCUUUGUGUACAGGCUUGGAUGCCUUUACCCCACCCUCCCAAAUUCUUUUGAACCCAAAUCAGAAGGAAGUCUCUUCUCCCUUACAUAUUUCAAAGAUGGCUCAUUUCCUACACCAGUAUUUACCCUCUUCCCAGUGUGAUUGAGAGUGGCAAUUCCCUUCAACUGAAGUUAUGCCCAACUAACUACAAAGAUGUAUCCUGGAUCCAUGUCCAGGAUUGACCUAUGGUAGGACAGUUACCAUAAAUCAGUUGCCAAGUAUAUUCAUGUGCUAGGGCUACUGUAACGAAGCACCACAGACUGGGUGACUUAAAUAACAGACAUGUAUUUUUCUCACAGCUUUGGAGGCUAGAAACUCAAGAUCAGGGUGUUAGCAAGGUUGGUUCCUUCUGAGGGCUGGGAGGAGGAUCUGUUCCAGGCCCCUCUCCUUGACUUACAGAUGGCCUUCAUGUUCUCUUGGUGUUCUCCCUGUGUAUGUGCCUGUGUCCAAAUUUCCCCCUUUUAUAAGGACACUAGUUAUAUUGAAUUAGGGCCUACCCUAAUCACCUCAUUUUAAUUUAAUCAUCUCUUCAAAGACUCUCCAAAUAAGGUCACAUUCUGAGGUAGGAUGGGUUAAGACCUCAGCAUAUGAGUUUUGGAAGGGCAUGAUUCAGUUCCUAACACCGAGUUAUGAUUUAUUCAAUCUUAAAAAUAUAUUUUUAACACACUAAUACCUAAAAACAAAAUAGUGGUUUUAAAAGUUAGAAUAUUGCAUGACAUGAUGAAAUCAAUACUCUCCUGCUCCACCAGCUCCAUCUGCAAUAUUUGCUCCCUAACAGUAGCCACAUUCAAAUAUUUAUUCUUCUGUCAUUUAUUCCCAUAUUUCUAAAUACCAUGCUCAGACUGCUAUUAAUUUUCAUGAUAAAUAUUCUGCAUUGGCUCCAAAGUAUGGAAUAUGAAGAUUUUGCUCUCUUGUGUCUUCUUAUACACAAUACCUGUCCACUCCCAAUACAGAUGUAUUACCAAAUGGUUAGUCAAUGUUUACUUUAUUAUGACUAUGUAUUGUUCACAGCUGAUCCACAAGGACAUCAUAUUUCCUUUCUUGUACUAUAUUUUAUUGUAUGUACAGCUUAAAAUUACUUUGUUACUUUGCUUAAUUUUUGUGCCUGUCACUAAUUCAUCCCCAAACAUUCUCCCAAUAUUUCAAACUCCUGUCAGUAUGGUCAAACAUAGAAGGUCAUCUCAAGAGCCUGCGUGUUUCCUUGGCAACCCCUCUCCAGCAGCCCUCCAUCUCCAACCUCAGCUGUGGACUCCAAGACUAUUUCAUAGUGAUAUCCUGGAGCUUUCCUUCAGAUUCAUCCUUUGAAGUCUGUUCAUUGCUCUCCUAUGUUGGAUCCCCCACCUCCUGGAUCUCAAUCCUUCUUUCUUGGUUGACUCCUUCAUUUUGAUGGGGGCACAUACUCCAACCGCUUCCUGAGAAAGAGGGCAUGGGGGAUAACUGUUUGAAGACUUGGAAUAUCUGAAUAUGACUUUAGUUUACCCUUGUAAAUAACUGAUAAUUCACUUACCUGAUAAUUCACAAUUAUGGAUGGUAAAUCAUAUUCCCUGAGUAUUGUAGAGGCACUCUUUUAUCUUCUUCUAUCUUUUAGUGUUUCUAAUGAGACUCUUGGUUCAGCUUAGACUUUUGACCUUAUGAGGGUGUAUUCAUUUCGUCUGGUUGUUGUAACAAAUGACAACACUGGGUGGUUUAAAGCAACAGAAAUUUGUUGUCUCAUAGUUCUGGAGGCCAGAGCCUGAAAUUAGCAACAUUGGGCUGAAAUCAAGAUGUCAACAGGGCCAUGCUCCUUCCAGGGGCUCUAGAGGAGAACCCUCUCCUUUCUUUUUCCAGUUUUAGGUAGCUGCCAGCCUUCCUACGCUGGUGGCCAUAUCACAUCAGUCUUCAAGGCCAGCAUCUUUAAGUCUCUCUGCUAAACCUUCACAUCACUUUCUCCUCUGUGUGUGUUAAAUCUUUCUUUGCCUCUCUCAUAAGGAGGCUUAUGAUGGCUCUUAGGGUCCGCCUGAUAAUCCAGGAUAAUCUCCUCAUUUUGUGAUUCUUAACUUAAUCACAUUUGCAAAGAUCCUUUUCCCAAUUAAGAUAACAUUUACAGGUUCUAGAAAUUAGGAACCGAUAUCUUCGGGUAGCUAUUAUUCAGCCAUAUAUAGGAAGUAAACUGGUAUUUCAUUCCUUUUAGCUGUUAGAAUCUCUUCUCUUUGAAAUUUCAAAAUGAAGUGUUUAGUCUUCAUCAAUCAUUUUGUUUUGUAGGCAAUUAGAGGGCAAUUUAAUCUAUAAUUUCAUGUUCUUUAUUUCAGGGGUAUUUUCUUUAUUGAUUUUUGAACUUAAUUCUCCUAUAUUUUCCCUGUUCUCUUUUUAAAGAAUUCCUCUAGUCAGUUGUCGUUUUUCCUGGGUUCUCCUAGGUGGAUUCCCUAAUUCACUUAAAUCUUCUGUUGUGUUUUCUGUUUCUUGAAUUUUUUGUUCCAGUUUCUGAGAUAUUUCUUCAAUUUAUCUCUUCUAACCCUUCUGCUGAUAUUAAAAUGUUAUUAUCUAAUUUAGUGUUCUUCCUUAUGCCAUCUCAAUUCUUGUUUCACGACCACAGUAUUUUUUCAUUUCUUAGGCAUGAUUAUUUAAAUUAGAUUUUGAACUUUCUGUAUCAUCUUUUUUUCCAAGUACUUUAAAAAAUAUAUUUUUUCCCCUCUUUCUUUCAUUUGAGAAGAUUGCUUCAAAUGUCUGGAUAUUUGCUUAUAUUUCACGGUGAGGUGAUAAAAACUUAAAAGCCAAUCACAAUGUGAGUCAGCAUUUUUGCUGGGUGAUAUGGUUUGUAUUUGUAUCCCUACCCAAUCUUGUGUCGAAUUGUAAUCCCCAUUGUUGGAGGAGAAUGGGAGGUGACUGGAUCAUGGGUGUGGCUUCCCCUUGCUGUUUUCAUGAUACUGAGUGAGUUCUCAUGAGAUCUGGUUGUUUGUGGAAACGUCUCCUUCCCUUUCUUUCCCCUGCUCCCCCCAUGUAAAACAGGCCUGCUUCCCCUUCACCUUCCGCCAUGAUUGUGUGUUUCCUGAGGCCUCCCAAGCCAUGCUUCCUGUACAGCCUGUGGAACCGUGAGCCAAUUAAACCUCUUUUCUUUAUAAAUUAUCCAGUCCCAGGAGGUUCUUUAUAACAAUGCAAGAACAGACUAAUACACUGUGAAACCUCCAAAGGUCAAUUUCUCCAGUCUUUUUUUGUUUCAUAUAGGUGGUCCUUCUCAGAGAGGAUUUAAUCCCCCGGGCUUCUCCUGGGGGUGUGAGCCAGGCUACUAGCACUCUGGGAACAGGGGGAAGUUAAGGGGCUAGGAUUCUCCUUCAUGAGCCGACUCUCACAUCGUCCCUCUAUUAGACGUUUCCUCCAUGGCCCUCACAUGGACUCGUUGUUGUUGAGUUCGCCUCACUGAUUCAUUCUCAGCAGAAAGUAAAUAUCCCUUAUUCAGCUGGGGGAUGCUGGAGACACAUGGAACCUCCAGUUCUGAGCCUUUUUGUGAUUCUGCAGUGGUCCACUGCUCACUUCUUCAUCUAGCCCUAUCUCUGUUCCUCCUCCUAUGCGUCAUACACUUAUGUUUCAGCUCUGAUUUCAAAAAUUGUGUUGAUGCCUGUCACUUGCUUUGGUCUCCUCUCACAUUCUCAAGAGAAAGAUUUUUGUGAGUUUAUGCCCUUUUCAUCCCUUUACAGUUCUCUCUGUCAUGUUUCAGGAGGAGAGAUAAAUGCAUGGCUUUCACUUACUAUGUUUAACAUUAGUCGGAAAUAACAGUAAAUGCAGUAGAUCAUCCAUUCCAGCUUUUGCUGUGCUGUGCUCAGUCUAAGUUCAGGCCUGCAAACCUUUAUUACAGGAGUCCAGUCUCCACUCCUGAUCUUUGAAAAGCUAAUGUUUGGACAAGAAUGCGAACAGAAACGAAACAUAAUAUACAUGCACAAAUACACCCACUCUCCCAGUAUGAAUUAUAGUUUUAAGUAUAAAUUUAAUUUUAAAAUUUAGAUCACCCUAAAUCUCUAUCUAAACCCAGAUUUAGAGAAAAUCAAGAACUACAUUUUCUGAUUUU